RNAcentral lists this ribosomal RNA (460 nucleotides) under uncultured Prevotella sp. Its description in RNAcentral is "bacterial SSU rRNA". It matches the Rfam family "Bacterial small subunit ribosomal RNA", at positions 338 to 795 of the family's 1533-position model. Lineage: Bacteria; Pseudomonadati; Bacteroidota; Bacteroidia; Bacteroidales; Prevotellaceae. The record is from RNAcentral.
CCUACGGGAGGCAGCAGUGAGGAAUAUUGGUCAAUGGACGUAAGUCUGAACCAGCCAAGUAGCGUGCAGGAUGACGGCCCUAUGGGUUGUAAACUGCUUUUGUAUGGGGAUAAAGUCAGUCACGUGUGAUUGUUUGCAGGUACCAUACGAAUAAGGACCGGCUAAUUCCGUGCCAGCAGCCGCGGUAAUACGGAAGGUCCAGGCGUUAUCCGGAUUUAUUGGGUUUAAAGGGAGCGUAGGCUGGAUAUUAAGUGUGUUGUGAAAUGUAGACGCUCAACGUCUGACUUGCAGCGCAUACUGGUUUCCUUGAGUACGCACAACGUUGGCGGAAUUCGUCGUGUAGCGGUGAAAUGCUUAGAUAUGACGAAGAACUCCGAUUGCGAAGGCAGCUGACGGGAGCGCAACUGACGCUUAAGCUCGAAGGUGCGGGUAUCAAACAGGAUUAGAUACCCUGGUAGUC